This 336-nucleotide RNase P RNA is filed under the name pig gut metagenome. RNAcentral describes it as "Bacterial RNase P class A". It matches the Rfam family "Bacterial RNase P class A". From Rfam's summary of the family: Ribonuclease P (RNase P) is a ubiquitous endoribonuclease, found in archaea, bacteria and eukarya as well as chloroplasts and mitochondria. The record is from RNAcentral.
GUCGACUGUGCGACUGCGGUGAUUCAGUUCAACGAGGAAAGUCCGAGCUUCACAGAGCAGAAUGACGGAUAACGUCCGCCGAAGGUGACUUCAGGGAAAGUGCAACAGAAAAUAACCGCCGAAAAUUCGGCAAGGGUGAAAAGGGGAGGUAAAAGCUCACCGGCUGUACGGUAACGUACGGCGUCAGUGUAAACCCCAUUCGAAGCAAGAUAGGAAGAUACCGAAAUGCGGUUGCUCGCCGCGGUAUCUUCGCCAAACGUCGCUUGAGUCCGUCGGUAACGGCGGAACUAGAUAGAUAGUCGCACCAGACAGAACUCGGCUUAUAGGUCGGCUUGU